This is a long non-coding RNA of Homo sapiens (human), 2053 nucleotides long. Ensembl annotates it as long intergenic non-protein coding RNA 482. NCBI's taxonomy places the organism in Eukaryota, Metazoa, Chordata, Mammalia, Primates, Hominidae. The record is from Ensembl.
AGCUCUCAGGGGCCCCGCCCUGGGUAACACACGUCUGCGGUGUUACCCACGACUGCCUGGGACCUGGCCAAGGGCUCCACACACCAAGACCAAGGCAGCAGGAAGGAGAAAGGAGGGAAGGUAAAAGACUACUGAAAAGCUUUCAGCUGGGGCUGGGCAUGGAGGCUCACACCUGUAAUCCCAACACUUUGGGAAGCCGAGGCUGGUGGAUCACUUGAGCCCAGGAGUCUGAGACCAGCCUGGCCAACAUGGCAAAACCCUGUCGCUACAAAAAAUACAAGAAUUAGCCAUGUGCACCUGUGGUCCCAGCUCCCAGGGCCGGGAGCCUGAAACCAAGGUGUCCACAGGGCCCUGCUGCCCCCAGAGGCUCUGGGCAGAGCCCUUCCGCCUUUCCAGCUCCCCCUGGUUCCCGUGCUCCUCGGCCUGUGGCCCCAUCACUCUGGCCUCUGCCUUCAUCUCAUGCCGAGAUCCCUGAAGCGGGCCCAGCUCCGUUCACUGCUCCCCCGGCCUCCUGCUGUUUCCCACACGCAGCCAUGGUACAGGGCAGCUCAUCCCACCACCUCCCCAACCGCAGCCUCCAGGGAUGUACACCCUGCCUCAGGGGCUGUGCCUGGGCCCUGGCUGGUGGAGGGCACAGCCGUCAGGGAAGGCCCUCAGCUGCAGGAUGCCGUGCCUCAGAGACCAACCAGGCCCUCGAAGGCACUGUGGCCGGCCCAGAUGUCAGCAGCUCCAGCAAUUAGGCUGGGACAGAUGGUGCCUGGUGACACAAGGGGACUGUGGGGGCCACAGGGGACCCUGCUCACCUGGACCUACCGUGGAGGCCAGGGAGGGAGAUGGACUCGAAGGGCGGAAGGGCCCAGAGAAGGCACAUUUGCAGAGCAGCGGCCGCAUUUCCAGAGCUCGGGAGCCCAACAGGAAUCCCGUCUGGCCAUGGGACCACCGCCCUUGGGGCUGGGGGAUGCCGCAGGGGACGGCAGAGGGCAGACAGGCCAGGAAAAGGGGAGGGCAGAGGGCAGACAGGCCAGGAAGAGCGCCUGCAAGUGCCCAAGGAAGGGACCAAACCCAGGCCCCUGGACCAGAGCGGCCGCCUGGUGGGGCAGGCUGGAAGGGGCCAAGGCCAGCGCCAAGGGGGAGCAGGUGAGGGACCCUGGUGGGCAUCUGUGGGAACAAGGCCACGUUUCUCCCUGCGCACGCUUUAAUCAAGGACAUUCCUGUGGUUCUCCAAAAGUGUCGCACACUACAUGGGUGUCGUGAGCUGGGCUCCGUGAGAGUGUGCGGGUGGCUGGGGGCAGCAAGGGAGCAGCAAGGCCUCAAACCCGGGCGGCGGCCUGGCCUGCGCGCCAGGAUGUGCGGUGUGAGUUUCCCGAGCUGCAGGAACAAGGUCCACAGACUGGGGAGCUUCACACAACAGAAACUGCCUCGCAGUUCCCGAGGCCAGAGCCCAUCGGGGUGGCUCCCUGAGGCCGUGAGCCCGGACUGUCCUGGGCCGCCCCCUCUUCCACAGGCUGAGAUCAUCCUUGGCGUCUGUUGGCCUGCGGCCGCCUCGCCCAACCUCUGCCCUCAUGUCCACACGGGUCCUCCCUGUGUGCAUGUUGGUGUCUGGAUCUGCCCUUUCUACUGUGGGGCAACUGUCGUCGAGGAUAGGGCCCACCACACAACACGGCCUCAUCGUAACUAAGUAUAGUCAGCAGUGAUCCUAUUUCCCAAUAAGGUCCCAUUCUGAGGUCCUGGACUUCAACAUGUGAAUUUUGGGGGCCACAACUCUACCCUGGCAUGCAGAGAGAGAAGGGGGGCGUGGAGUCCCCCUGGGGGGAAGUCCCUUGGGAAGUCACAGGCCCCCUUGGUGGGGCAAUUGGGACGUGGGUGUGAGGGUCCUGGGUACAGGGAGCCUGCCUACCAAGGCUCUGCCGACAGCUAUUUCUAAAUUCCUCGUGGAAAAUACCCUGUGGCCCUCCUCAUCUGGAGCGAGCGACGGGCUGGAGGGUGUCUGAGCCAGGCUGGUGCCGGGGAGCAGAUGUGGGUGGCCCAACCCAGCCCCUUGUUCUUGUUCCCC